CAAUAGUGGUCCGGUAACGGAGACCCGCCUCCUCUGGCCUGCUAAAGAGAAGCUAACGUGAUGGCUGGCGGAGCUCGCCUUCCGCUCCUCCUUCCCUCGCCAGCGAUAUCUCAAGGUGGAGAGAGCCGACGUGAGAUAGGAGACCUGUAAGCCUUGGUGAUAUAGAAGAUGCUGAAUUUAUUAAACAAGAAGAAAGCACGGAAAAAAUGACUAUUUGGCAGCAACUCUUGAUAGGUAAGCAUUUAUUGAAGAACAGUACUCAAAUUCUGCAGGAAGAAUCAAGUUUUCCUCCAUUGAUCAAAGUCCAUUGAUCAAAUACAUAUCAGGUGGAAAGAUAACACAGUCAACAAUUGUCUCACAAGGAUUGUAAUAAGUGUUCUAAGCAAACUUUUUCAUGCUGAAUUAAAAAUGAGGUCAAUUUUUUUCUAUCAGGCUUAGUUAUUUGUGACCCUAUUAUUCUGUUCAAUUAGUGAUAUCAUGGUGCUUUAUGUUAAUUAUAGUAGCAUAUCUGUAUCAGAUAUGUUUAGUUUGGAGGAAUUGACCUGCUCCCCACUCCCAUUUUAUGUUAUUUCUGCUUAACAAACACAACAGGGAUCACAUGUAAAAUAAGCACACUAUGAAAUACCCAGAUUUACCAUCUGCAAUGAAGGUAGCCCCAUGUAAAAGUUUUACUGUACCAAAGCUUCUAAAAAUGGGACUAUUAGUGACAAUGACUAAUCAUAAUGAUCGUGCUUAAGUAAAGCAGAAAAGGAAAACCUUAAUUCUGAUCUAACAUUUCAGGUUUUCUGAAAUGAGCCACAUUUGUUGAUGCAAGGGGAUCUGAAUAAUCUUGCUUGUGAUUUUAAGUUGUCUUAGAAACAGGAUGAACUUUUAAUAUCAAAAUGAAAGGGAAUCUUCACUGUCAUGAUACUUAAGGGUUUUUUUCUUUCAUUAUGUUACAUAAUGAAUGUAACAAUUUAUUCUCCCAAUAAGAUGGACUAGUAUUUUGUAAAUAUGUUUAUUUAGUUAUGGAGGCUCUUGGCCAUGAACACAAUGUAAAUCAUUAGCUCCUUGAAAAUUAAGCCGGAAGGCUCUUUUUUAUAAUGGGAAUAAUUUAUUUUCGACGUGUUGGCCCAUGCUGCUAACAGGAAAGAGUUAUAUGAGAACAAGAAAGGAAAGAUCCAAUGUGAAAAAUAAAAAUGGAGUACCGGUAUUUUUGGAGAUCUGAAAGUCCCCUUAUAUACAAAGUAAGGUGUUUUUUCCAUGAGUAGGGCAGUAAGAAGAAAAAAAAAAAACAUCAAGCUCAGAAAAAAUGCCCCAAAUAUACCUCAUUUGUUCACAAACAGUUUGGGAAAUAAUAAAGCAAGAAAUCCACAAAAUACUAAGCAAUAGAAUAUAACGUCAUUGAAAAUUCAUUUCUUGGUCUUUCACAUGGACUUUUCCCUUGACAACCUCAGCAUAGUCAGUGAUGAGCAUGGUGAAUGAUUUUCCCAAGGUAUUUGAAACAUGGGAAAACCAAGAAAAGUUGAGCCCCAGUAUGCUGGCUGAGUAUUGCUGGCCUUUGAUAUAAAGCCCACCAGAUAAUUAAACACUCCUUUUUGUGCUUCAAAUUAAAUUGUUAAUAUAGGCUAUUAUCAAAAGUAAGUUAUGGAUCACUCAGAUUACCAUACUUGAUAGAAAAAUCCUGAAACAUUUGAAUUCAGCAUUAAAAACUAUGAGACUAACCAGUUUUCGUGUGACACAACAUUCUUUUCUCCAUCCUUUCAAGUUACCUUUGCAACGUUGUUUCCAAGUGUGAUUUUUUUUAUUCCAUUUCAAGAUUAUCUCUAUGGGAAAAGCUCAUAGAUACAACCAUAGAUAGAUGCUUUAUCAUAUUCAUCCAGAGAUACAAAUCUGCAUAUAAAAUGCAGUCCAAGAAGUUAAGGAUUAAAUAAGGGAUAUAUUUUUAAUGUUGUGAAUAAAUCUAAUCAAGCGUCUCCAGUAUUUCUUCCGAACUAACUAGUGGCUGCCAAUUCUAUAGCUGUGAUAGCUUUAUUCCAUUUUCAAAUUUAUCAUACAAGAGCCUUGAGAGCUCUUCCACCAUAUUUCUCUAAUAAGUCUCCAGGUCAAUUACCAGAAAACACGAUUAUGCUAACUGUUCUAGAAUAACCAACUGACAAAUUCAGUUGGCCCGUUUUUGGUCCCAGGAGGCUGCAGGGAGACCUACUAGGCCCAAAAGAGGGCGCAGGGGGAGGGGGUCGCAUGCGCACGCAUGGGGAUGGGGCACGCCAAGGCGCAUCACAUGCGCAUUGCAUUAUGGGUGCCAGCACACGCACUGUCGCAUUCACAUGCACUUUCAGCACACGACAACAAAAAGGUUAGCCAUCACUGUCUUAGACGAAUAGUGCAACAAUACUAAGAUUCUUUCACUCAAAAAAAUCCUUCCUUCCCCAUCAAAUUAUUUGCUGCUAAAUGUUUGGUGCAGCCCCUCAUUGGAUUUCAGUUCAGCUCAUAUUCUAGCUAUGCUUUGCUGGAAUCAAUUCAGAUUUUUCCAGGUAUAAAUGCAAAUUUAAACUGAAGUCUAGUUUGUCUAAGAUGGAGAUUUACAUUGGCUGGUAAUUUUCACUUUAUGGUUAAAAAUAAACUUUUGACCCCUUAACAACCCUUGCAGUUUACUCAGUUUGGGAAAAAACCUCAUUGUAUAUGUACCCUUUUGCCAUAUGGUCUUCUAUCAGAAACCUUGUUUUCCGUACUGUAAAACAGUAUAUAUUUUUAAAUGUUAUGGAUCUAAGAUUGCAGAAUUAUUUAAAUGUCAUCUGGAGCUAACUAAUUAUUUCACUAACUUGGAAUUGCAUGGGCAAUAUAGAACCUUCUCUUGGGCAUACUUUAAUACAUGCCAUAUGUCUUAUUGGAGGUCUGGUUCAAUAGGAUUCUCUUUGAGAUAAACAGGCUCAUACCAGUUUAGCAAAUAGGCACCAAAGCAAUAAAUAUAUUCUAUACAACAGCAUGUGAAUUGUUGAUUUUUGACCAUAACAAAGCAUUUUCCAUUGUCAAACCAAGAAGUUUAAUUGGACUGAUUUUUGAGGUUUUAUAAGAUUUGAGGUUUUAAUGCCUUUCAAUUACAUUAUAGAACCCUUACUUACCAAAAUAUUGGUCUAUGUUUUGUCUCAGUAACACCUAUGGAAUUUGGAUUUUUGAUACCUUUCAGUAGUCAAUUUAUGAUGUGACAUAAGCUUUUCAAAUAACACUACAUGGUAGAAUAUUUUUCUACCACUAGGUGGAAUAAAGUUCUCUGAAUGGC
This is a long non-coding RNA of Pantherophis guttatus, 3259 nucleotides long. RefSeq lists it as uncharacterized. Lineage: Eukaryota; Metazoa; Chordata; Lepidosauria; Squamata; Colubridae. The record is from RefSeq and is a predicted model, not a curated record.